This 422-nucleotide ribosomal RNA is filed under the name uncultured delta proteobacterium. Its description in RNAcentral is "bacterial SSU rRNA". It matches the Rfam family "Bacterial small subunit ribosomal RNA", at positions 125 to 523 of the family's 1533-position model. Lineage: Bacteria; Deltaproteobacteria. The record is from RNAcentral.
UCUACCCUCAAAUCGGGGAUAACAACGCGAAAGCGAUGCUAAUACCGGAUAAUAUCCUGUGAACGAUUGUUUAUUGGAUUAAAGGUGGCCUCUAUAUAUAAGCUACCGUUUGAAGAUGAGCCCGCGUACCAUUAGCUAGUUGGUAGGGUAAUGGCCUACCAAGGCUUCGAUGGUUAGCUGGUCUGAGAGGAUGAUCAGCCACACUGGAACUGACACACGGUCCAGACUCCUACGGGAGGCAGCAGUGAGGAAUUUUGCGCAAUGGGGGAAACCCUGACGCAGCAACGCCGCGUGAGUGAUGAAGGCCUUCGGGUCGUAAAGCUCUGUCAAGUGGGAAGAAAAUAUAAAAUGCAAAUACCAUUUUGUACUGACGGUACCACUGAAGGAAGCACCGGCUAACUCCGUGCCAGCAGCCGCGGUAA